GGUGAUCUGACCAGCCAUAGCGAGUGCUAUCGCUAGAGGAGAAUGCUCGGCAUCCCUGGGAACCACCUAAGGACCUCAAAGGUAGGAGUUAGACUAGUUUUGAGUUGGAAAAGGGUGGUGCAAGGUCGCACAGUGUGGACCUCAUUAGAGCCAUCAUCGGAGGAGGUGAAGGAUCUCAUUAAGUGGUUCCCAGAGGUAGUUGAGUUCCCAGAGGAGGAGCU
Molecule: long non-coding RNA, 221 nt
Filed under: Elaeis guineensis (African oil palm)
Lineage: Eukaryota; Viridiplantae; Streptophyta; Magnoliopsida; Arecales; Arecaceae
Description: long non-coding RNA (EGUI_LNC031633)
Source: RNAcentral